GCUUUUACGAGUUGGGCGCAAAGAGCACUCGACGCGUUCACGGAAAGGCGAUCAUAACAGUUCGAUCGAGGACGCCAACGGUGCCGCCUCCUGCGGCCGCCGUGUCUUCUUCCCCUUCUUAGUCCGCGGCGCCCAUGGCUGUCGUGUACGCGCGCCGCGAUGGGCGCACCGCGCUUGAGCUGCGCGGUAAGGAGAUGAGGCUUUCGGACAUGACCGCGUUCGACGGCAGCAGCUGGUACGCGCAGGGGCAGACGGCGGUGAUGGCGUCGAUUCACGGGCCAACAGUAGCCAAGAAUGAUGAGUACGACACGUGCAUCGUGCAGGUGCGCGUCCAGCACGCUGGCGUGCUCGCCCCAGCCGCAGGUGGUGCGGAGAAGGUACUGUACGAGGAGAGGAAGCUGGAGGUGCUCACUCGCACAGACGCGCUGGCGCUGGGGUCGUUGCUGGAGUCCACCCUCAACGCUGUCUUCAUUCGCGAGCGCUUCCCGCGAUGCGUGCUCGUGGUGGACGUCGUUGUCGUCCGGGACGACGGCAGUCUGCCUGCCGUUGCGCUGAACGCUGUCAUGUCCGCGCUCCUGGAUGCCGGCCUGCCGUGUCGCACGACGAUGGCGGCGGUGUGUGUUGCAGUUGUGACGCACGACGGUGGGGCAGACUCGACCAGCGGCCCUACCCAAGACCGCCAUUCUUCCGUCGACGGCUCCUCAUCAGCAGGCAGUGUCUACGAGUACUUGCUGGAUCCAACUAGCGCUGAGGAAUCCCUCGGGGUAGGCUACGCCGCCCCGGCCCCGUCUGCAGCCGAGAAGGCGGUUGUCACCGGCGCCAGCUCCGUCGCGACGUCCUCGGCCGUGCCCAUGCCACUACGAGGCCGCAACGCAGCGCAGUCGGUGCAAGACCAGCAUCGCUGCGUGAGCAUCGGCGUCUUUGCUUUCUCGAACCCGGCGUGCGGAGGAGGCUUGCUGGCGCAGCUGGUGCGUUCUGUCGGGAGCGGCAGCGCGGGGAUGCGCGGGCCGGGGGUGCCCGUGCAGGCGUAUGCGGAGAUGGUGGCGUUGGCGGAGCGGGCCUCCGCGGUGCUGUUCGAGUUCUUUCGGCAGUGUAACGUGGCGGAGUGAAGAGAAGGGGAAAGAGAGAGAGUGGCGGGUGGUCGUCGUGGUCGGUAUGAGGCGCACUCCUGCGAGAGGGAAGGAUGGAUAUCACGGAGGGGCAUCGGAAGGCCUCACCCUCCCCUCCUCGUGCGUGCGUGCGCCGGUUGGCCAUGAUGGCUUCGCUUCAGCACAAGCGGAGAUCAAGACGGAUGCCUCCGCCCUCACCCCUCCUCACCAGUCUCUUUUCUCCUUACAUGCAGACGCAUGCGCUGCGGGCGUCUUUAACACCUGAUUAAAAAAGGGUCAUCAUUGUCAGCAGGAGCGCUGACGCGGAUACAUGGGCUGUACACUUGGAAGGGCAUCGAUACACCGUCAGCGGUGGAUGUCGGUGUGCGUGGGGUUGGCGAGGGCGACUGAGCGUGCGCGAGCGCGCGCACAGGGGGGGGGUGAUCAUCGCAUCGCUUAAGUGUCCAGAGGGCGUUGAGUAUGGUGGAUGCAAUCGGCGGUCCGAAGGAGACGGCGGGUGGUGAUGGCAGUGGUGAUGAGCAGCAUACUCCUGCCCAGCCUAGCGAGGAGGACGCACCCCACCGUCCCUCAGCUGCCGCCCUCUCUUCGUCCG
Molecule: unclassified non-coding RNA, 1701 nt
Filed under: Leishmania donovani
Lineage: Eukaryota; Euglenozoa; Kinetoplastea; Trypanosomatida; Trypanosomatidae
Description: gene:LdHU3.02.0400(CDS-product:RNase_PH-like_prot ein_putative)
Source: RNAcentral